This 74-nucleotide transfer RNA is filed under the name Aedoeadaptatus ivorii. Its description in RNAcentral is "Peptoniphilus ivorii tRNA". It matches the Rfam family "tRNA". From Rfam's summary of the family: Transfer RNA (tRNA) molecules are approximately 80 nucleotides in length. Lineage: Bacteria; Bacillati; Bacillota; Tissierellia; Tissierellales; Peptoniphilaceae. The record is from Rfam by way of RNAcentral. RNAcentral also lists the same sequence under 1 other name.
CGGGGUGUAGCGCAGUUUGGUAGCGCGCAUGCUUCGGGAGCAUGAGGUCGAAGGUUCAAAUCCUUUCACUCCGA